This 497-nucleotide ribosomal RNA is filed under the name uncultured bacterium. RNAcentral's name for it is "partial 16S ribosomal RNA". It matches the Rfam family "Bacterial small subunit ribosomal RNA", at positions 28 to 507 of the family's 1533-position model. The record is from RNAcentral.
GAUGAACGCUGGCGGCGUGCCUAAUACAUGCAAGUCGAACGAAAGGACGAGAAGCUUGCUUCUCUGAUGUUAGCGGAGGACGGGUGAGUAACACGUGGAUACCCUACCUAUAAGACUGGGAACACUUCGGGAAACGGGAGCUUACACCGGAUAAUAUUUUGAACCGCAUGGUUCAAAAGUGAAAGACGGUGUUGCUGUAUCUUAUAGAUGGAUACGCGCUGCAUUAGCUAGUUGGUAAGGUAACGGCUUACCACGGCAACGAUGCAUAGCCGAGCUGAGAGGGGGAUCGGCCACACGGGAGCGGAGACGCGGUCCAGGCGCCUACGGGAGGCAGCAGUAGGGUAUCUGCCGCAAUAGGGGGAAGCCUGACGGAGCAGCGCCGCGUGAGUGAUGAAGGUCUUCGGAUCGUAAAACUCUGUUAUGAGGGAUGAACAGAUGUGUAAGGAACUGUGGACAGCGUGACGGUACCGGAUCAGAAAGCCACGGCUAACUACGUG